GAUGAACGCUGGCGGCGUGCCUAAUACAUGCAAGUCGAGCGAACAGAUGAGGAGCUUGCUCCUCUGACGUUAGCGGCGGACGUGUGAGUAACACGUGGAUAACCUACCUAUAAGACUGGGAUAACUUCGGGAAACCGGAGCUAAUACCGGAGAAUAUAUUGAACCGCAUGGUUCAAUGGUGAAAGACGGUUUUGCUGUCACUUAUAGAUGGAUCCGCGCCGCAUUAGCUAGUUGGUAAGGUAACGGCUUACCAAGGCAACGAUGCGUAGCCGACCUGAGAGGGUGAUCGGCCACACUGGAACUGAGACACGGUCCAGACUCCUACGGGAGGCAGCAGUAGGGAAUCUUACGCAAUGGGCGAAAGCCUGACGGAGCAACGCCGCGUGAGUGAUGAAGGUCUUCGGAUCGUAAAACUCUGUUAUUAGGGAAGAACAAAUGCGUAAGUAACUAUGCACGUCUUGACGGUACCUAAUCAGAAAGCCACGGCUAACUACGUG
This 497-nucleotide ribosomal RNA is filed under the name uncultured bacterium. Its description in RNAcentral is "partial 16S ribosomal RNA". It matches the Rfam family "Bacterial small subunit ribosomal RNA", at positions 28 to 507 of the family's 1533-position model. The record is from RNAcentral.